This is a long non-coding RNA of Ictalurus punctatus (channel catfish), 1081 nucleotides long. The record is from Ensembl. Lineage: Eukaryota; Metazoa; Chordata; Actinopteri; Siluriformes; Ictaluridae.
GACGUUACAGGAAGAAGAGUUAGAGCUACCCUGUGUGUUGUUUUGAAAGAAAAAAAGGCGGAUAUGUUCUCUAAUGAAAGCUUUCUGGGUUUAGUUUAGACUUCCUGGACUCAUUAAACUUCAUAAACUCAGCAGUAAUUCCUGACAAAUGUGCUGACCAAACGAUGGCUGCCAGUACUGAACAGAUAGACACAUCGCUCCCUCCUGGAUGGACGAGAGAGACAAGACAACGAAAGCAGGGCAAGACAGCAGGCAAAAUGGACACUUACAUUGUCAGUCCUCAGGGUAAACGCUUCAGAUCCAAAGCAGAACUCCAGAAGUACCUGCUUGCUGAGGAAAGUGUCCAUCUGGAUCUGGACGCUUUUGACUUCACGACAAAAAUCAAAGCACAGUCUCAAAAAUCCAACUCUGAAAAGCCACAACAAAAAAAACGAAAAACAGGAAGGAGAAAAGCACAACAGACAAAUCAAACUGCAGAAAAUCAACCUGGGGCAGCUGUGGGAGAAAUGCAACACGUAGAGAUCGAGACACAGGUGGAGGAGAUGAACAGUACGGAAGCCCAGGUGCAGAAAAUAAAGAGUGACGAAGAAGAACAAAAAGACGUCAAUUGCAAAAUAGUGGAAGCAUCCAGCAGUGUUGGAGAAAACAGACUGGCCGCUGUGCCUGCCAUAAUUGUACAUGCAGCAUCGGAGAGCGAAGGAGAGGAUAAAGCAGAGGAGGAGAAAGAAGAAAGCGAUGAAGUGAGUGACAGCCAAAAAAGUAACUCGGGGAAUGGCUCAACUGUCAGAAACACACAAAAUGGUGAGUAUUACCCUAAACUACAGUGCUGUGAAAAUCAUUUAAAAACUGUAGUGUGUUUACUCAGGUUGCCUUUGUUUUAUGUUGUAUUUCAUUUGAAGAUCUAAAACUAUUUAGUAUGAGAUAUACACAAAAACAAAAGAAAUCAACACACUUUUUCACAGCACUGUACUGCACAAUUAAACGGUUUUACGAGUACUGUUUUUAUUCAGAUAAUGUCCGGGUCUUUCCAAAGGCUACACAAACUUUUUCACACAGACAUUAAUCUGUGCCACAAUACAGU